CCCAAAUGUGGCCUUGGGUUUUCAGGAGCCCAGUAGUGACUUCUGUGGUCCCUGACUUGCACCCUCACCCUAUUAUUGGAGUUGUGCUUCAUUUCUCUGUGUGGAAAGAGUGAAGUAUUGGGAAAUAUGACCCUGGUCACCAAACCAACUCAGAGACAGCAAGUGCUUUGGCAAAGGAAAGGGCUGGCACAGAGAACAGAAGCCCCCAGCUAUCAAUACAUUACAGCAGGAUGAGA
This 236-nucleotide long non-coding RNA is filed under the name Homo sapiens (human). RNAcentral's name for it is "non-protein coding lnc-LEF1-3:5". Lineage: Eukaryota; Metazoa; Chordata; Mammalia; Primates; Hominidae. The record is from RNAcentral.